ACAGCUCGAAAGCUACGAGGCUCACUCCGCACAAAAGACGCGUCUUUGCACGGGUCUUCUCUCGUGAGCGGGUUAAGGUCUGAGUAUUCCAAUCCCCCUCGAUCGACUCUAGCCGGGUCCUGUCCUAAUGGGCAGCGCGACGUACCAGAAAGGCAGUGGCCGAGUCAUUUAUGCUUGAUGACCAUUAUGUGGGAGAGCGACGGUAGUUUGCUCACUUUGAAAGGCGUCGCGGGGAUUGGGUGGUUUUUUCUCCCGAUGAACGUGGUUUCUUAGUCGCUCGCCUGCGGUUGUCGUGUUGUCUCAAGCUCAGCCUUUGAGACGACGCACCAAUGUAGUAACGCCACCACCUUACGGGCGUUUCCACACGCUUCGUCAUCCAACGGUCAUCACGACCCCUACCUGCUAUCACAGCACCUCCUACAGCGUUCCUACACGCUUUGUCGUCCAACCACGGACACUGGCUGGGCAUCACGACCCCUGCAUUGGUUUCACGAAAUCAUUCGUGCGCUGUAUGGCGAGUGACAACGGAUUCCGUCGUUUGUUUAGGUCGAGUGAUUCCACCCUUGAGUGCACUUCGUAGCUCGCGGUACACCUGCGAAACUCGAUUCAGACUACUCUCGGGCUGU
This 626-nucleotide RNase P RNA is filed under the name Pisolithus tinctorius Marx 270. Its description in RNAcentral is "Nuclear RNase P". It matches the Rfam family "Nuclear RNase P". From Rfam's summary of the family: Ribonuclease P (RNase P) is a ubiquitous endoribonuclease, found in archaea, bacteria and eukarya as well as chloroplasts and mitochondria. Its best characterised activity is the generation of mature 5'-ends of tRNAs by cleaving the 5'-leader elements of precursor-tRNAs. Lineage: Eukaryota; Fungi; Basidiomycota; Agaricomycetes; Boletales; Pisolithaceae. The record is from Rfam by way of RNAcentral.